AUUGAACGCUGGCGGAAUGCUUUACAAAUGCAAGUCGAACGGUAGAGGGGGCAACCCCUCGAGAGUGGCGAACGGGUGAGUAAUAUAUCGGAACGUGCCCAGUCGUGGGGGAUAACGUAGCGAACGUUACGCUAAUACCGCAUACGAUCUAAGGAUGAAAGCGGGGGAUCGCAAGACCUCGCGCGAUUGGAGCGGCCGAUAACAGAUUAGGUAGUUGGUGGGGUAAAGCAUCACCAAGCCAACGAUCUGUAGCUGGUCGGAGAGGACGACCAGCCACACUGGAACUGAGACACGGCCCAGACACCUACGGGAGGCAUAAGUGGGUAAUUUUGCACAAUGGACGCAAGUCUGAUCCAGCCAUUCCGUGUGCAGGGUGAAGGCCCUCGGGUUGUAAACUGCUUUUGUACGGAACGACAAGGUCUCUCUUAAUACCUGGGACUCAUGACGGUACCGUAAGAAUAAGCACCGGCUAACUACGUGCCAGCCGCCGCCGUAA
Molecule: ribosomal RNA, 496 nt
Filed under: uncultured bacterium
Lineage: Bacteria
Description: partial 16S ribosomal RNA
Rfam family: Bacterial small subunit ribosomal RNA
Source: RNAcentral